GAUGAACGCUAGCGGCAGGCCUAACACAUGCAAGUCGAGGGGCAUCGCGGUGCAGCAAUGCACUGGCGGCGACCGGCGUACGGGUGCGUAACGCGUAUGCAACCUGCCCCGCACCGGGGGAUAGCCCGCCGAAAGGCGGAUUAAUACCCCAUGGUCCCGGGGGCCCGCAUGGGCAUCCGGGUAAAGCCUUGGCGGUGCGGGAUGGGCAUGCGUGCCAUUAGCUGGCUGGUGGGGUAACGGCCCACCAGGGCAACGAUGGCUAGGGGGUCUGAGAGGAUGGUCCCCCACACUGGUACUGAGACACGGACCAGACUCCUACGGGAGGCAGCAGUGAGGAAUAUUGGUCAAUGGGCGAAGCCUGAACCAGCCAUGCCGCGUGAGUGAGGAAGGCCCUGGGUCUAAAGCUCUGUCAGGUGGAAGAAUCGAUGAAGUGAACACUCAUCCUGACGUACACAGGGAAGCACCGGCUAACUCCGUGCCAGCACG
Molecule: ribosomal RNA, 486 nt
Filed under: uncultured bacterium
Lineage: Bacteria
Description: bacterial SSU rRNA
Rfam family: Bacterial small subunit ribosomal RNA
Source: RNAcentral